GAGCUCAGUGGUCUAAAAGGACUUGACGUGUGGAAUGAAGGUCUCCUAGCCCACAAUGUAUUCAGUCCUCCCCACUACCCAGCCUCACAAGGAUACCAAUGCAGCCGUGUCAAGUGACAUUCAUUUGGAAGUCUGUGAACAAAAGAGGACAUUUGUUGUAAACUGAAGAUACAAGCAAUGAGCAAGGGAAAUCCUGCCUUCCAGGAAAAUGCACGUAGCUGAUUCCUUCCCAAUUUGUGUGAAUAUGCCAAAUGCUGCUUCUGCCAAGCCUCUUGGUGUGAUGAAUUCACAGACCCUGCAAUGGGAAAGUCAGCAGCUGUAGAGGUGGGGCUAUUCCUGGUAGGAAGGAGGCAGCUACCAUGCUUGCGCCUGCUGACCGGACUGCUGUUUCAAUAGGAACUUCCUCUCCAGGGGAGUUGGUUCAUAAUUUUCCUCUUACUACUACUGGAAGUCCUAUAAUGGCCAUAUCACAGCCUGUACCCAUUCACAACAGGAAAUUCUGACAAUCCUGUCUGACAAUCUGCAGACAAUCUUGGCACGAGAAGAGGAAAAGUCCAGUCUUGUGUGUCAGCUUCUAUAUUAGAACCAGAACAAUCAUUUUUAUGGUAUAGACCAUGUUGUCACCUUCACAAGUGAUGUUGGGCUCCAAAAAGGAAAAUGUACUCUAGUGAAGUUCAAGUGUGAUGUCUGCAAGCAAGGACCCCAGAGAAGGCAACACUUUGAGGACCCUGAACAAAAACACUGUGGUGACUCUAAAUCCAAGGAAAGGCGCUUUGAUAGUGGGAGACGGUUUCUGGUGCAUGAGUUCCUUGUACGGUAUUAUCCUACGUGUUCAGGACAGCGGGGCCCCGUGGGAACUACGGGUCCUCACAGGCAUGCUGAAGUUAGCAACUAACCACUCACAAAAUCUGAUAGGCAUCUUACAUCCUCUAGCUUGGUUUUUCUCAGACAAGCAGAGAGGCACACACCUAAAAGUGAAGUUACAUGUGUGGAUGUUUAUAUGA
This 1004-nucleotide long non-coding RNA is filed under the name Bos indicus x Bos taurus (hybrid cattle). Its description in RNAcentral is "lncRNA (ENSBIXG00000029357.1)". The record is from RNAcentral. Lineage: Eukaryota; Metazoa; Chordata; Mammalia; Artiodactyla; Bovidae.